CCUCAAUUGUUCUUAAAGCUGGCGUGGAGUCGUUUCUUCUUCUGCUUCACUUUCUGUCGCCCGGACCUUCAUUGAUGAAGAGUCGAUAAGUUCGUGAAGAAAUUGUCAUAAGACAAAGUCUAAUUCUACGUGCCUAAGGUAUCUUUUAAUGUUUUAGGGUUCUAGCAUCCAUAUUAAUCUCGUUUCAUUCAAUCAAUAAAAUGUAACCAAUUAUCAUGUAACUAUCAUAUAGGUUCGAACCCAUUUGUUCGAACAUCAACAUGUACAUAAUCCAUAACCUCCCUCUACACCCGUCAUUUAGUCAAGUACUCCAUCAAUUAAGAACAAGCCAUAUAUUAUCACCCUGAAAAUUUAAUCAUUAUAAAUCAUGUUUUCUCAUACUUCGCACAUUUUCAUCACUUAAAUAAAUCAUUUAUAAACACAUGCUUAGCAAUCUAAUAUCUCAAUUAAAUCCCAAGCUCAUUUGAUAAAGUAAAUCAUAUACUUAAUCAUUCUAUAACACAAUUCCACAUUUUUUUUUAUCAUGUAAAUAAAUAAGAAAUUUCAUUAUUCAUUUAUAAAUAAUAAAACAUUUUAAAAUCCAUUGAUAUGAAAUAAAACAUUUUAACCAUUUAAAAAAAAUCCAUACUCGUAAGCUUUGAAAAUAAUUUUAUCAUAUAAUAAAUGGGGCUUAAUCCCAAAAUAUUUGCUUUAAAGUCCAUUAAUAAUUUAAAUAAUAGAAUGGACUUCAUUUAGAAUAAAUAAUCCCAACUUCCAAUAUUAAAAUUUAAAUCAAGAGAUUUAAAUUCACUAAAUAAUUUAGUGUAAAUUCAAACAUUUUUUUUUUUAAAAAAAUAAGGCCAAAAUUCGUAGGCCUUUAUUUCAAUUAACAGUUCAAAACUUAAUUAAAAUGGGCCCAUUACAUUUUAUUAAAUAAAAACCCAUCAUUUUUUUUACAAAGCAGGAAGGCCCAGCAACAUAAAAUAAAAUCGGCCCAUUUUAUUUAAAACUUUCGGCCCAAGCUAAUAAAUAAUCGGCCCAAUCAAAAUUAUUAAAAAAAAAUUUCGUCCUACUCUAACCUAACACACUAUAUCACAUACACAAACACAUACCACACGCACAUAACACAUAACACACCAGCACACACAUCACUCUCACUCUCCCUCUCGGCUCUCUCUCUCGUCUCUCUUACUCUCACUCGGCUGAGGGCGGCGCCGCCUCCGGCGCGCCGCCUCGCCGCGCGUCUCCCCUCUCUUUCAUUCCUCGGUCUCCUCUUCCCUCUCUCUCGCUGGUACAGUCGCCUCCGUCUCCUUUGCGUGCCACUGCCGCCUCCGCCGUGGCCAAGCACGGCGCCGCCUGGUCCUCCUCCUUCGGCUCCUGCUCGGAAAAGUGCGCGGGUAGCCUCCUCUCCAUCCCCUCGUCUGGAACAGGGCGUCUGCCCUCUCCGCCAUAGGGAGCGCACGGCCGCCGCCUCGCCGUGAAGGAGCUCGGCCGCCGUCCGUCGCCUCCUCCGUCGUUCGUCUGGCUGGAAUCGCGGUGGAGGCCGAGCCUUGCCUCGCCGGGAAGGUAGGCUCCAGAUCUGAGCUCCCCCUCUUUUCCUCUUUUCCGGCCGACCAGGAACAGCUCGGUGCUCCCGCCGCCGUGUCGCCGCUGCCGAUGCCGCCUCCGGAAAGAUAAGUUCUCUCUCCUUUAUCUCUCUUUCCCUCCCCUGUUCUCCCUUCUCUUCUCCCUUUUUUUUUAAACUAAAACUCUAAUAAUCUUUCUCCUCUCCCAAUUUCUGACAGAAAAAGGAAAAGGCGGCUCGGCGGCACCGUUGCCGUCGCCGGCCCUGAGCAGCCGCCGGCUGUCUCACUCCCUCCCCUGACUCGGACACACAAGGACGGGAGACUCAUCCCCCCAAAUUCCAGUCACACGCACAAAAGCAAAAUUAGGGUUUUAUUAAUCUGUUCUUUCAAUCAUUCAUUUCCUUUUUAUUAAAACUGAUUGUACAUGUAAUAGAUUAGAGAAUAUAGUAAAAUGUGUGCGUGUGUAUUAUUCUGUUGGUGGUUCUCUGAUGGUGAUAAGCUGAUGUAAUUGAAACAAUAAUAGUCUAAAAGAAGUGGUAAUGGAUGCGUGUGUUCGAUCUGUUUUCAUUUGAAUCAUAGUUUUGUAAUUUAACAAAUGAAUGUAUGGAGAAAGUAAAGUAGGAGGUAACCUUGAUAAUUUUCUGAACUCACAAAGUUGGAUCUGCGAAUCAACAAUUUAACAAUGAAUUUGGAUCUGAAUCUGCUUGAUUACUGGAAUUUGGAAACAUAAACAUAGUUAAAAUGGAGGGUUGUAUCCCCAAGGAAGAAGAAGAGAAUUGGUUGGAACACUUACCUCUGCACUUUAAACUUUGUUGGGUGUGUUGAAAAGAGAAGGAAAGAGCGGAUGAACUAAUAGAAGGAAACUUAGCUUUUAAAACUUGGC
RNAcentral lists this long non-coding RNA (2427 nucleotides) under Salvia miltiorrhiza (redroot sage). Its description in RNAcentral is "long non-coding RNA (SMIL_LNC010378)". The record is from RNAcentral. Lineage: Eukaryota; Viridiplantae; Streptophyta; Magnoliopsida; Lamiales; Lamiaceae.